ACUCAACAUACACUAUAAAAUUAUAAUUUCAAAUUACAAUAUACACUUAUAAUUCACAAAUAUACAAAUACAUCAAAAGAUCCUAUAAAUCAGAAUCAAGUGCGAAAAUAUCCAUUGAUAAUGCUACUUAUUCAUCAAGUGGCGUCCAUCCUCACAUGGAGUGGGCCCACUUUGAAUAAAUUAUAUUUUAUUUGAAGCGAGCCCCUUCCAUGUGAGGGGUUGGACACUAGGGUGGACACCCAAUAGACAUGUAGCAUGACCCAAUAUCGACAACCAUCUUUUCCCUCAAUCUAUUCAUAUGGAAGCAAUUGAUCUCGUUCUACUGAACAAUCGAUGCUCAAGAAUUCUUUAUAUUUUACUAUAUACAUACCACAAUCACCCCUGAAAAAAAAAAUAAUGGUAAACAAUGUGAAAUAACCUAUUGAAUAUGAAUAAGUGAAAAAUAUACAUAUGUACAUUUCUACCAUUUCCUUCCAAAUGACAAGAUUAUUUAUAGUGUUUGCUUUCUAUAAGGAAAGAUGGCAAGCUAUAUAACAUGAAAUUUCAACACUCUUCCAAGAUUAAUCUCUUGCAAACCAUGACUUACAAUUAGCAACCAAUUAUCAAAAAAGAAAUAACAAAAAUGGGUACAUGUUGCCACAUAUAUAGCAUGGCCACGGUCUUUAAUUGAAAAGAGACAUGUUCGAUAGAUAAAGGUCAAGUUGAUAGCAAGACGAGAUCAGCUAGUUUCUUUGUGCUUUCUCUUUUUAGUUAUAUUAUGCAAAUUUUGAGCUAGAUAAAAGUCAAGUUGGAAGCCUCAAUGCAGCAUGAUAUUAAAAUAACUUUCAACUAAACAAAGCAGCAACCCACAAAUAAAUAAAAAUAAUGAUACGAUACACCCACAUUUAUUUGAGCAUAUAUCUCAAAUCAUGUAGCACAAGGACUGAUACUAUCAUAUCCGAUUUAUUAAGCAAAAUAGACAUUGUUUUAAGAGAUAAUUUAUUUUGAACUGAAUAGCUAAAAAGCUUCAAACAUUCUAGAAAUCAAGGAAAGCACUAUAUACUCUGAAACCUAAAAGAAUUUCUUUCUUUAACAUUGACAAAUCCAAUCCCGACAAAACAUAGAACAAUGAAAAGCAUCAAAAGUCACAAAUGUUCACGGUUGAAUUCAAAUUCUUAGGCAACUUGGGAAGAUGAGAUCAUAAAUUUAAAACUAUUUAUUCGAGGAUUUUACCAAAUUAAUGGCCUAUUUAUUCAAGGAUUUUACCAAAUUAAUGGAUUUUACAACUUCCAAGUAAUGACAUUUCAAACAGGUCAUAAAUUAUUAAUAAUAGACGUUAUAACUACUAAGGCAUAAGCAAUAUGCAUGGAAAACCUUAGACAGUGAAAUUUAAGCUCAUAAACUGAGAUAUGGACGGAAUGUAGAAAGGAGCGAGAGAUUCAACUAAAAGAUUCGUUUAUGCAUACCUUUAGUAGAUGAAAUUUAAAUGAUAGUAAGUUAACCAUCAUCCUUUCAGAAACACAGGAUAUUUAUAGUGUUGCCACAUGGAAGAGUGACAAGCAACUGAAAAGGUAUAAAUUAAUAUAACGAAGAACAACUACCAAAAUCCAACUGCUACUUAAACCAUAAAAGAUUCCUUGAAUGAAACCAAGGCCAAGCUUUUGCAAAGCAUAAUUCCAAACUUUUAUUUUAAAUCAAUAACCAGAACAUAGAACUCACAUCAUGCAAGCUAAAAUUGAAAGUUCAAAAUAGAUCUUAAGCUAAAUAAAAUAAAAAUAGAAUAUGUGAACAUUAACACCAUGUGCAGCCAGAAAAAUAUCUGAAUGGCAUGCAUGAUGUUAGAGAUAUUUAGGAGAACAUGUGAACAUCUUUUGAAUGUACCUUGUCAACUACCUCUAGCAAGAGCAAUAAAAAAUGUAGUCAUUUACAGAAAGCUACAAAUACAAAAACAAUACUAAUUUAACAAUUUUUCAACAGAAUGAAAAGACAAAAAAAAUAAAAAAUAAAAUAUGUCAACAUAUUCUGAAUGAGCCAGACAAGCACAAGGACACAAAGAAAAAGAUGAAAAUUUGAAGAAAAAUUUUAAUAUGGGCCAAUGCAUCCACGGAUUCAACAAAUCAAGCCAUAAAAUUGUAAAUUAUUGAUAAUUCAGAUUACAAAAAUAUAAAUGAUUCGGACACGGACAGAAAUCAACACGUCAAAAUUGUAACAAAUAAAAUACGGUCGAAGAACAAAUGAUUCGAAUGAUUCAAGGAACAAAAAUAAUACUAAGCAGACCUAAUAGUUUAUGAAACAAAUGAUUCGAAUUUACCUCAAUAAAUGUGAAUUUUUGCUUAAUCCUUU
This 2322-nucleotide long non-coding RNA is filed under the name Olea europaea (common olive). RNAcentral's name for it is "long non-coding RNA (OEUR_LNC006254)". The record is from RNAcentral. Lineage: Eukaryota; Viridiplantae; Streptophyta; Magnoliopsida; Lamiales; Oleaceae.